GACGAACGCUGGCGGCGUGCCUAACACAUGCAAGUCGAACGGAGAUUUCAGCAAUGGAAUCUUAGUGGCGAACGGGUGAGUAACGCGUAGCCAACCUGCCUUUUAGAUGGGGACAACACCGCGAAAGUGGUGCUAAUACCAAAUGUUGCAUUUUGAUCGCAUGAUUGAGAUACUAAAGAUGGCCUCUAUUUAUAAGCUAUCGCUAAAAGAUGGGUCUGCGUCUGAUUAGCUAGUUGGUGAGGUAAUGGCUCACCAAGGCGACGAUCAGUAGCCGGUCUGAGAGGAUGAACGGCCACACUGGGACUGAGACACGGCCCAGACUCCUACGGGAGGUAGCAGUGGGGAAUCUUCCGCAAUGGACGAAAGUCUGACGGAGCAACGCCGCGUGAGUGAAGAAGGUUUUCGGAUCGUAAAACUCUGUUUUCAGGGACGAAUGUGCAGAUUGUGAAUAAUGAUUUGUAAUGACGGUACCUGAGUAGAAAGCCACGGCUAACUACGUGCCAGCCGCCGCGGUAA
This 516-nucleotide ribosomal RNA is filed under the name uncultured bacterium. Its description in RNAcentral is "partial 16S ribosomal RNA". It matches the Rfam family "Bacterial small subunit ribosomal RNA", at positions 28 to 523 of the family's 1533-position model. The record is from RNAcentral.